RNAcentral lists this long non-coding RNA (4214 nucleotides) under Equus caballus (horse). RNAcentral's name for it is "lncRNA (ENSECAG00000049715.1)". The record is from RNAcentral. Lineage: Eukaryota; Metazoa; Chordata; Mammalia; Perissodactyla; Equidae.
CAACAGCAUCUAUGUUUGAGUGGACCAUAGAGUGAAAGCGUUCUGAGGUCCUUGUAUCCAGUCGUAUCUAGUCACGUGGUAAUGAAACUGCAGAAAGCCGAAGAGAGAGCCUCUUGAAAGUAAUCCCUUGGUUGAUGAGGGAAAGUUCUUCUUUAUUGAAGAAUCUCAGCUAAUAACUGCAGAAAGAAGGGUAGUAUUGGAAAAUCACCAUUUUGCAGCUCCCUAAUAAAAUAAUGGAUCUAGUCAACAAUCACCAAUGGCUGCAAAACAUCAUUAAGUGAAAAAUUGAUGGGGAACUUUAUAAUGGAUCAAUGGAAAACACCUGAACUCACAGGUCAAUCUUAACUGCAGCAAAAUUUGGAUAACCAGACAUUAUGUGGCUCCUAAUGUGAUGCUAUAGGGAGUAUUCAGCAGCCACCUACGAAACUGUGUUGCCCACCCCCCCAAAAAACUUGAAUCUGAAUCUCAUCAAGGCUCUAGGUCUACCAGUUGACAGGAAAUGUGGAGGAUGACAUCACAAAGAGAUGAUCACCCGAACCCAGAAUGUAGGAAAAUUCUACAAGACAAAUGACCCGGUGUAUUCAUUCAGGUCCCAGCAGGAAACAGAUGGCAUACUCAAAUUAGGUAACUUGAAGAGAGCUUAAUCAAAGGACUAUUUACAAAGAUUUCAGCAGGAUGUAGGGAAACUAGGAGGGAACAAGGGGUAGCAUGGGACCCAGAGCUAAUCACAGCUCCAGAGACAUUACCACUCUGUGGAUGAAGGGACAGGAAAGGGAGCAGAUACUGUAAAAGGGGUACAUGGAGAGAGCAAGAGAGAGGGAAGGGAAGGAGGGAGAGAGAACAAACUAUGUGACGAGGGUCUCAUGACAAGGACUGUGACCUUCAGUUGAAAGACACAACAACCUAGCCAAGAAAUAUUGUACACUGAUGGUCGGAAUAAUGGUUACACUCUAUUUGGAAUAAAAUAGAAAAGGGAGGAAGAAAGAUUUAAUUCUGACAAAAAUAAAUUUAAGAAUCUCUUCUUUUAGCUGCCAGUAUUUCAGCAUGGAACUGAGUGUUGACAGGUGAGGUAUAUUUUACAUCCAGGACUGACGCAAUGGAUUCCAACCUUUGUUGCUGUGUCCACUCCUGGCCCUCAGUCAGUUCUCCACUUAGUAGGCAGUGUCUUUGAAAACUGCAAAUCUGGUCUGGAGGUUAAACUGCUUGAAACAUUUCAGUUGCCCUUCGAUAAAGAUUUUCAGCCUAAUUCAUAGGGCAUUCCAUGAUCUAGCAUUUUCUUGCCCCUCUAGUCCUCCUGCCCUUGAACGGCUUUACCCCAGCCACACUGGCCACCCUCGGAAUGCCAUGAGCUUUCCUCCUAGCAGACAUUCAUGGAUGUGGUUCCUAUGGUCUAUGAGGUGUUUAGGGCUCAGCUGCAGGAAUCAGAAUUCGCUCCAGUUAGCUUAAGCAGAAGGGGACUUAUUAAGGAUAUUGCACAGCUCUGGAAGCAGUGUCAGGCCUGGAAAAGAAGACUAAAGAGAACCUCGAGAGCCUCGGCGGCUUGGCCACUGGAGGAAUUUUUGCCUCUUCUGCCAUCAGGGCGCUGGCAGCCAACCUGGGAAGCUGCCCCUGCAGCUGCUGUCUUCCAGGAUUCGGAAACCACUCAAAUUGGCAAACAGCCACAAUCUAGAAGCUAAACGACCAGGAAGUCACCACGGUCAAGGGGUGCCUCAGGAAAGGCAGAUCUCCUGUUUAUUCACCAGUAAAAGUCACAGAAGGAGGGAGGCGAAGCCACUUGAUCACUUCCGUCUUCUGAAUCCUGAACGAGUGCCUCUGACUGAUGGAGCGAAUUCACGUCCAGAACCUGUCCUACAUGGAAACCUGGGAAAUGUGUUUUUUAGCUUUCCAGUCUACACAUUCUGGAAGGAGGUUGGAGGUGAUAUUGAGUGCCAAAAGACCACGUCUGCCGUAGCCUGGAACCUGGCCCAGUAUUACUCAUCCUUCAGGAGUGGAUACAAUGUUAAGUUUGAAGUAUGGCAGGCCUGCAUACCUUCUGGAAAUGUCCAUCACAUUUUCUUCAGCAGCCUUUAAUGGAACCAAAUUCUCCUGAGAGAAUGACACUUCCCAUUCACUGACUCCAGUAAGGAGCAUCAUUCCCAGGUACUUGACUUUGAGGAGGCUGGAGAUGAAUGAGAUGCUCAGAAGCCUAAAAGACGCAGGAGUGGUCUUUGUUCAGAGGUUGCCCACUGCCCAGUUCUCAGAGCAGACUGAAUCUCAGAGAAGGAACAUUUCCCUUACAGCUCUUGGAUGGAUGUGUUUUGAAAACAGACUUACUUCUCCAAGGAUUUGACCUGACAACUUGUUCGCCUGUGAGGGUUGGAUCUGUGUGGAAGCCUAGCCCUAAUACUGAAAAGUUUUACUUUUCUGAAGAAAGGGACUGAAAGGCAGCUACAUGUUUGGCACAGUAAUGCUAAGGCUCUGGCACAAAAUCAGUCUGUCAGAAGCUCCUUUCCUCUGGAUAGACGGACCAGUGACACUGGAUGGACUAAAGUCUUGUCUCAAAUGAAUGUAGAGCCCACUUCGGGAUUUCCAGCCCCUCUGCCUCUGGCUCCAAAGAACUGGCUUUACCAUUGACGUUGUUAACAGCAAGGUCAGUGACGGGGGAUCAAAGCCCAGGGGAGAAACUGGGGCUGGUCAAGGGGGAGCCACCUGCCACAGAGCUUGGUUUUAACAUCUGUUGUCUAGGGUCACACUUCUCCAAAAGAUACACUACUGUGGUCAAGAUCAAGGUCACAUGGAAAAGAGGACUUUAAAGACAGCAAGUGAGCAUGGGUUGAUCUCAAGAUGAACUGGAACUGAAGAAAUCGAAAUUAGAAACCAAAUGUCCAUAUUUCAGAGAAAAGAACUUUACCAUUGAUCAGUUGCCCUGGGCAGUAAGAAACAGAUCGGGCACAAACUGGCUUAAGCUGGAAGCAAACGAAUUAGUUCACGUAGAAGGUGUCAACAGCAGGGUGGGCUUCAGGGUGGGUGGAUUCAGAGGCUUGAGGGCAUCAUUCUGUUCCUCGGUUCCAUUCUGUCUCUCCUCGCUGUCCUCCAUAGCACCGGCCUCAUGCUAAGUCUGGUUCCCUUGUGUUCGAAUGGUGGCUGCCAAUGGCAGUCGGGACACGUGUUUUCUUUCCCACCCAGGGAGGGAGAAGAAGAGGCUAGAUACCCAUGACACAUUCUUCCCUGGCGUCCCCAGGAGCCUCUGCUCAUGACUCAGGGGCCUCCCGGAGAGGAGAUGGUGGUCCCAGGCUUGCGCAGACCCAUCUGCUGGCGCGGAGUGGAUGUAGCCUCUAGGAUCACACGAAGAGGUUUCAGCUGUGCUGGGGCUUCCCCACUUUCAUGUUCCUUGAGUGUAAACUAAUGGGGCUGUUCUGUUUGUCUAUUGCUAUACAACAAAUGACCCCAAACUUAGUGGCUUGAAGAUACAGUCAUUUUAUUGUAUCUCCCAAUUUACGGGUCAUGAAUUCAGGCAGGACCCAGCUGAGAGAUGCUUCAGCAUCACAUGGCUUGGGCUGGGGUCACUCAGCGGUAUUUGGCUGGCAGCCAGGCUGGUCCGAGGGUCCUAGGAUGUCAUCACUCACAUGAUUGGCACCCUAGCGAUACUGGGGGCUGGGCUCAGGUGGGCGCCUCUCCCUCAUUGUGUGGGCCCUCUCCUUGUGGUCUCUCCAGCGGAGGAGCUGAACUUCUCACGUGGUGGCUCAGUUUGCUACACAGCUGCAAGUGACAGAGAAAUUGUGAAAUACAAGAUGAUUCCCAAUGAUUUGACAUGUCAUCUCCACUGUCCAUAAUAAACAAAAAGAAACGGGCAUUCAAUUUUAAUAAUAGAUGCUUUGUUUUUCUCCAUGCCCCCUAAAUAGAUGUGUCCAUUUUUAAAAUAUCUGUUUGAAGAGAUGCCGCUUUGCCAUACUGUCCAGGGUGCCGGCGUCGCUGGCUCACCCUGUAUGGUAUGACUGUGGGGUUAUCUUUCCUUCCCAUCACCCCUGCUUGGUCUAGGGCAUCAUCACGUCUCCCAUGCUAUCCCAGUAGCCUCCAUCUGACCCUCUGGCACCAGUCUCACCCUCUUCCACUCAUCCUCUACAUGUUUUCCAGUGUGAUUUUUCUGAAACAAAUCUGCUCAGACCAUUCUCUUGUCUAAAGUCACUAUGGGGUUCUCUUUUACCAACCAGAUAAAAUUCACUCUUGAGUAUGGC